Teleopsis dalmanni is the source of this 404-nucleotide long non-coding RNA. RefSeq lists it as uncharacterized. NCBI's taxonomy places the organism in Eukaryota, Metazoa, Arthropoda, Insecta, Diptera, Diopsidae. The transcript has 4 exons. The record is from RefSeq and is a predicted model, not a curated record.
UACAUUAUUAUAAAAUUUACAAAAUUUGUGAGUAUAAAAAUGCCUCCGUCUGAUAAUUUUCCGUUUUGGUUGUACCUCAUAUUGAUAUUAGUUUUAAUGAUUUUAUUGAAAUGGUCUUUAAAAAUCAUUUGUUUGUUUGAUGAUAGUUCGGCCCGUCAUUUUCACCAAUUACAAGAACACCACCAAAUAGCAGUUCAUUCGACGACAGUCACAUUUAAAGAAGUGUACGCAAACGUUUAAAAUUUAAUCCAAAAAAUACAUAAUUCAGAAAUGAACACAAUCGUCAUAGUCAGUUUAAUAGUUUUCAAACUAAUUGUUUGGCUUAUCGUUUUAAUAUGUAGUUCUGUAUCUAAAUACAGAAAGAGAAAGAACCAGACAGACAGACAAACAGACGAUUGUGAAGG